This 530-nucleotide ribosomal RNA is filed under the name uncultured bacterium. RNAcentral describes it as "bacterial SSU rRNA". It matches the Rfam family "Bacterial small subunit ribosomal RNA", at positions 355 to 896 of the family's 1533-position model. The record is from RNAcentral.
UGGGGAAUAUUGCACAAUGGGCGGAAGCCUGAUGCAGCGACGCCGCGUGGGGGAUGAAGGCCUUCGGGUUGUAAACUCCUUUCGACAGGGACGAAGCGUAAGUGACGGUACCUGUAUAAGAAGCACCGGCUAACUACGUGCCAGCAGCCGCGGUAAUACGUAGGGUGCGAGCGUUGUCCGGAAUUACUGGGCGUAAAGAGCUCGUAGGUGGUUUGUCGCGUCGUCUGUGAAAUUCCGGGGCUUAACUCCGGGCGUGCAGGCGAUACGGGCUGACUUGAGUGCUGUAGGGGAGACUGGAAUUCCUGGUGUAGCGGUGAAAUGCGCAGAUAUCAGGAGGAAUACCGAUGGCGAAGGCAGGUCUCUGGGCAGUAACUGACGCUGAGGAGCGAGAGCAUGGGUAGCGAACAGGAUUAGAUACCCUGGUAGUCCAUGCCGUAAACGGUGGGCGCUAGGUGUAGGGGGCUUCCACGUCUUCUGUGCCGUAGCUAACGCAUUAAGCGCCCCGCCUGGGGAGUACGGCCGCAAGGCUA